UUUAUAAGUAAUGUUUAAGAGCAAUGACCCACUCCUACUUUCAGCAAAGAGGUGCACAUAGCAUAGACCCAUAGAAGAGGAAGGAUCUGAGAAGGAGUUUGAAAAAAGUGUAGGAGAGGCUGCGAGAAAACAAGGCAGGUGUCCUGGCUGAGGGCAGGAAGGAGACAUUGCGAUGGAAAUUGUGCCCCAUUUUCUUGGAGGAUUGGGAAGAGGACCUGUGGACUGGGCGGCCCACACAACUGCUGUAACCUCAGGCAGUUUUCAAGCAGAUUGACCUUCCUGCUGGAACACGGCACAUGAGGAGAAAAUGAACAGCUGGACAAUGCUCCUGGUCAGUAGGCCUGAAGGAUGCUGGGAUGCAGCCCUCAAGAUGGAACAGCCAGGAUGCCAAGUAUCCCUCUUGCCCAGAUCCUAAGGCACUUUUUCUACUGAUCCAUAUUGGCCUCAGGAGAUGUCUCAACACAGCACCCCAGCCAAUGGAGCUGCCACAUAAGAUGAACUCUUGAUCAUCUCUAAACUAGAGAGUUAAACUCAACACUAGCAAACGACUUUGGGUUUAUGCAUAUGUCAUGUUUUCUCUGGCAACUGCACAGAAUCAUCUCUAAAUAUCACAUCUAUGGUUGGCAGGAGUGGCA
This 635-nucleotide long non-coding RNA is filed under the name Homo sapiens (human). RNAcentral describes it as "HSALNT0035850". The record is from RNAcentral. Lineage: Eukaryota; Metazoa; Chordata; Mammalia; Primates; Hominidae.